RNAcentral lists this small RNA (24 nucleotides) under Brassica napus (rape). Its description in RNAcentral is "PsRNA_13". Lineage: Eukaryota; Viridiplantae; Streptophyta; Magnoliopsida; Brassicales; Brassicaceae. The record is from RNAcentral.
AUGACAGGCUCAGAGACGUCAUGG